RNAcentral lists this ribosomal RNA (1413 nucleotides) under Pediococcus pentosaceus. Its description in RNAcentral is "bacterial SSU rRNA". It matches the Rfam family "Bacterial small subunit ribosomal RNA", at positions 62 to 1431 of the family's 1533-position model. Lineage: Bacteria; Bacillati; Bacillota; Bacilli; Lactobacillales; Lactobacillaceae. The record is from RNAcentral.
UCGAACGAACUUCCGUUAAUUGAUUAUGACGUACUUGUACUGAUUGAGAUUUUAACACGAAGUGAGUGGCGAACGGGUGAGUAACACGUGGGUAACCUGCCCAGAAGUAGGGGAUAACACCUGGAAACAGAUGCUAAUACCGUAUAACAGAGAAAACCGCAUGGUUUUCUUUUAAAAGAUGGCUCUGCUAUCACUUCUGGAUGGACCCGCGGCGUAUUAGCUAGUUGGUGAGGUAAAGGCUCACCAAGGCAGUGAUACGUAGCCGACCUGAGAGGGUAAUCGGCCACAUUGGGACUGAGACACGGCCCAGACUCCUACGGGAGGCAGCAGUAGGGAAUCUUCCACAAUGGACGCAAGUCUGAUGGAGCAACGCCGCGUGAGUGAAGAAGGGUUUCGGCUCGUAAAGCUCUGUUGUUAAAGAAGAACGUGGGUAAGAGUAACUGUUUACCCAGUGACGGUAUUUAACCAGAAAGCCACGGCUAACUACGUGCCAGCAGCCGCGGUAAUACGUAGGUGGCAAGCGUUAUCCGGAUUUAUUGGGCGUAAAGCGAGCGCAGGCGGUCUUUUAAGUCUAAUGUGAAAGCCUUCGGCUCAACCGAAGAAGUGCAUUGGAAACUGGGAGACUUGAGUGCAGAAGAGGACAGUGGAACUCCAUGUGUAGCGGUGAAAUGCGUAGAUAUAUGGAAGAACACCAGUGGCGAAGGCGGCUGUCUGGUCUGCAACUGACGCUGAGGCUCGAAAGCAUGGGUAGCGAACAGGAUUAGAUACCCUGGUAGUCCAUGCCGUAAACGAUGAUUACUAAGUGUUGGAGGGUUUCCGCCCUUCAGUGCUGCAGCUAACGCAUUAAGUAAUCCGCCUGGGGAGUACGACCGCAAGGUUGAAACUCAAAAGAAUUGACGGGGGCCCGCACAAGCGGUGGAGCAUGUGGUUUAAUUCGAAGCUACGCGAAGAACCUUACCAGGUCUUGACAUCUUCUGACAGUCUAAGAGAUUAGAGGUUCCCUUCGGGGACAGAAUGACAGGUGGUGCAUGGUUGUCGUCAGCUCGUGUCGUGAGAUGUUGGGUUAAGUCCCGCAACGAGCGCAACCCUUAUUACUAGUUGCCAGCAUUAAGUUGGGCACUCUAGUGAGACUGCCGGUGACAAACCGGAGGAAGGUGGGGACGACGUCAAAUCAUCAUGCCCCUUAUGACCUGGGCUACACACGUGCUACAAUGGAUGGUACAACGAGUCGCGAGACCGCGAGGUUAAGCUAAUCUCUUAAAACCAUUCUCAGUUCGGACUGUAGGCUGCAACUCGCCUACACGAAGUCGGAAUCGCUAGUAAUCGCGGAUCAGCAUGCCGCGGUGAAUACGUUCCCGGGCCUUGUACACACCGCCCGUCACACCAUGAGAGUUUGUAACACCCAAAGCCGGU